Molecule: ribosomal RNA, 253 nt
Filed under: uncultured bacterium
Lineage: Bacteria
Description: partial 16S ribosomal RNA
Rfam family: Bacterial small subunit ribosomal RNA
Source: RNAcentral
UACGUAGGGGGCAAGCGUUGUCCGGAUUUAUUGGGCGUAAAGAGCGUGUAGGCGGCCAGGCAGGUCCGCUGUGAAAACUCGAGGCUCAACCUCGAGAGGUCGGUGGAAACCGUCUGGCUAGAGUCCGGAAGAGGAGAGUGGAAUUCCCGGUGUAGCGGUGAAAUGCGCAGAUAUCGGGAAGAACACCCGUGGCGAAGGCGGUUCUCUGGGACGGUACUGACGCUGAGACGCGAAAGCGUGGGGAGCGAACAGG